Diachasmimorpha longicaudata is the source of this 347-nucleotide long non-coding RNA. RefSeq lists it as uncharacterized. Lineage: Eukaryota; Metazoa; Arthropoda; Insecta; Hymenoptera; Braconidae. The transcript is spliced from 2 exons. The record is from RefSeq and is a predicted model, not a curated record.
AGAGGAGCGGUACCGGCAUAAGCGAGAAAUGGAAAAGAUAUAAAAGAGGAAUACAGUGUUGGAGAACGCGUUUGAACAAAGAGCUUUCAUCAGUGAGCUUUGGCGCAUUGUGUGGGAUUUUAUGCAUAGCAUCUGCGAAGUUAUUGUGGCGGAAGGGUUUACUGGAGAUUCAUGAUAUUAUGGAGAUUAAUUCACCGGCAGUGGUGGAUGGAAACUCAAGUUGUGAGGGGAAAAAAUACUUUAUGAUUCAAGUUGGAGAUUCGAGUGGACAUGUGUCCAAUGUUGAAAGAGGAUUGACGUUUCGUAGACAGUUUAGUGGAAAUUUUUGGGGGAAUAAUAUUGAAUAA